GGGUCAUUAGCUCAAUUGGUAGAGCAGGCGACUCUUAAUCGUCAGGUUGGGGGUUCGAUUCCCUCAUGGCCCACCA
Molecule: transfer RNA, 76 nt
Filed under: Desulforamulus hydrothermalis Lam5 = DSM 18033
Lineage: Bacteria; Bacillati; Bacillota; Clostridia; Eubacteriales; Peptococcaceae
Also listed under: 2 other names
Description: Desulfotomaculum hydrothermale Lam5 = DSM 18033 tRNA-Lys
Rfam family: tRNA
About the family: Transfer RNA (tRNA) molecules are approximately 80 nucleotides in length. Their secondary structure includes four short double-helical elements and three loops (D, anti-codon, and T loops).
Source: RNAcentral